GACGAACGCUGGCGGCGUGCUUAACACAUGCAAGUCGAACGAGAGGCGAACGGGUGAGUAACACGUGUGUGAACUGCCUUGCACUUCGGGAUAAGCUAGGGAAAAUGGGUCUAAUAACGGAUUGUGCAAGAUGGGCGCGCGGGCUAUCAGCUUGUUGGGGGGGUAAUGGCUACCCAGGCGCGAGGGGUAGACGGCCUGUGAGGGUGUACGGCGUCAUGUGUACUGAGAGAGGGCGCAGACGCCAACGGGAGGCAGCGGGGGGGAGUAUUACACAAUGAGGGGAAGCCUGAUGAGACGGCGCGGGGGGGGGAAUGAAGGCCUACGGGUGGUGAACUCCUUUCGACAGAGACGCGGUACCUGUAUAAGAAGCACCGGCUAACUACGUGCCAGCAGCCGCGGUAAUAC
RNAcentral lists this ribosomal RNA (405 nucleotides) under uncultured bacterium. Its description in RNAcentral is "partial 16S ribosomal RNA". It matches the Rfam family "Bacterial small subunit ribosomal RNA", at positions 28 to 526 of the family's 1533-position model. The record is from RNAcentral.